This 31-nucleotide non-coding RNA is filed under the name Homo sapiens (human). The record is from RNAcentral. Lineage: Eukaryota; Metazoa; Chordata; Mammalia; Primates; Hominidae.
UUCCUGUGAGAUGGGUGACAAGGAAACGCUU